UACGUAGGGCGCGAGCGUUGUCCGGAAUUACUGGGCGUAAAGUGUGCGCAGGCGGCCGCGCAAGUCGAGUGUGAAAGCCCCGAGCUUAACUUGGGAAUUGCGCUCGAAACUACGUGGCUGGAGUGUGGCAGAGGAAGGUGGAAUUCCACGUGUAGCGGUGAAAUGCGUAGAGAUGUGGAGGAACACCAAUGGCGAAGGCAGCCUUCUGGGCCAACACUGACGCUCAUGCACGAAAGCGUGGGGAGCAAACAGG
RNAcentral lists this ribosomal RNA (253 nucleotides) under uncultured bacterium. Its description in RNAcentral is "partial 16S ribosomal RNA". It matches the Rfam family "Bacterial small subunit ribosomal RNA", at positions 524 to 776 of the family's 1533-position model. The record is from RNAcentral.